This is an RNA transcript of Mandrillus leucophaeus (drill), 800 nucleotides long. It is a transcript of the gene named dnaJ homolog subfamily C member 8 pseudogene, with no coding region annotated. The transcript is spliced from 3 exons. NCBI's taxonomy places the organism in Eukaryota, Metazoa, Chordata, Mammalia, Primates, Cercopithecidae. The record is from RefSeq and is a predicted model, not a curated record.
GGUGGCUCACGCCUGUAAUCCCAGCACUUUGGGAGGCCAAGGCAGGUGGACCACGAGGUCAGAAGAUCGAGACCAUCCUGGCUAACGGUGAAACUCCGUCUCUACUAAAAAUACAAAAAAUUACCCGGGUGUGGUGGCGGGCACGUGGUGGCUGGGCCGGGGAAAUGGCGGCUUCAGGAGAGAGCGGGACUUCGGGCAGCGGAGGCAGCACCGAGGAAGCCUUUAUGACCUUCUACAGUGAGGUGAAACAAAUAGAGAAGAGAGACUCGGUUCUAACAUCGAAAAAUCAGAUUGAAAGACUGACCCGUCCUGGUUCCUCUUACUUCAAUUUGAACCCAUUUGAGGUUCUUCAGAUAGAUCCUGAAGUUACAGAUGAGGACAUAAAAAAGAGAUUUCGGCAGUUAUCCAUCUUGGUGCAUCCUGACAAAAAUCAAGAUGACGCUGACAGAGCACAAAAGGCUUUUGAAGCUGUGGACAAAGCUUACAAGUUGCUACUGGAUCAGGAGCAAAAGAAGAGGGCCCUGGAUGUAAUUCAGGCAGGAAAAGAAUACGUGGAACACACUGAGAAAGAGCGAAAAAAACAGUUAAAGAAGGAAGGAAAACCUACAAUUGUAGCGGAGGAUGAUCCUGAACUGUUCAAACAAGCUGUAUAUAAACAGACAAUGAAACUCUUUGCUGAGCUGGAAAUUAAAAGGAAAGAGAGAGAAGCCAAAGAGAUGCAUGAAAGGAAACAACAAAGGGAAGAAGAGAUUGAAGCUCAUCUCCAGGUCUCACAGAACAGUUUUGGCUCCAAAGAGUAA